AGAGUUUGAUCAUGGCUCAGGACGAACGCUGGCGGCGUGCUUAACACAUGCAAGUCGAACGGUGAUCUUGGGAGCUUGCUCCUGGGUGAUCAGUGGCGAACGGGUGAGUAACACGUGAGUAACCUGCCCCGGACUCUGGGAUAACUUCGGGAAACCGGAGCUAAUACCGGAUAUGACCCUCGCCUGCAUGGGCUGGGGGUGGAAAGUUUUUCGGUCUGGGAUGGGCUCGCGGCCUAUCAGCUUGUUGGUGAGGUAGUGGCUCACCAAGGCGACGACGGGUAGCCGGCCUGAGAGGGCGACCGGCCACACUGGGACUGAGACACGGCCCAGACUCCUACGGGAGGCAGCAGUGGGGAAUAUUGCACAAUGGGCGCAAGCCUGAUGCAGCGACGCCGCGUGAGGGAUGACGGCCUUCGGGUUGUAAACCUCUUUCAGCAGGGAAGAAGCGUGAGUGACGGUACCUGCAGAAGAAGCACCGGCUAACUACGUGCCAGCAGCCGCGGUAAUAC
Molecule: ribosomal RNA, 509 nt
Filed under: uncultured bacterium
Lineage: Bacteria
Description: bacterial SSU rRNA
Rfam family: Bacterial small subunit ribosomal RNA
Source: RNAcentral